Molecule: ribosomal RNA, 742 nt
Filed under: uncultured bacterium
Lineage: Bacteria
Description: bacterial SSU rRNA
Rfam family: Bacterial small subunit ribosomal RNA
Source: RNAcentral
AGCGGCGGAUGGGUGAGUAACACGUGGGGAACCUGCCCCUAAGUCUGGGAUACCAUUUGGAAACAGGUGCUAAUACCGGAUAAUAAAGCAGAUCGCAUGAUCAGCUUUUGAAAGGCGGCGUAAGCUGUCGCUAAGGGAUGGCCCCGCGGUGCAUUAGCUAGUUGGUAAGGUAACGGCUUACCAAGGCGACGAUGCAUAGCCGAGUUGAGAGACUGAUCGGCCACACUGGGACUGAGACACGGCCCAAACUCCUACGGGAGGCAGCAGUAGGGAAUCUUCCACAAUGGACGCAAGUCUGAUGGAGCAACGCCGCGUGAGUGAAGAAGGUUUUCGGAUCGUAAAGCUCUGUUGUUGGUGAAGAAGGAUAGAGGUAGUAACUGGCCUUUAUUUGACGGUAAUCAACCAGAAAGUCACGGCUAACUACGUGCCAGCAGCCGCGGUAAUACGUAGGUGGCAAGCGUUGUCCGGAUUUAUUGGGCGUAAAGCGAGCGCAGGCGGAAAAAUAAGUCUAAUGUGAAAGCCCUCGGCUUAACCGAGGAACUGCAUCGGAAACUGUUUUUCUUGAGUGCAGAAGAGGAGAGUGGAACUCCAUGUGUAGCGGUGGAAUGCGUAGAUAUAUGGAAGAACACCAGUGGCGAGGCGGCUCUCUGGUCUGCAACUGACGCUGAGGCUCGAAAGCAUGGGUAGCGAACAGGAUUAGAUACCCUGGUAGUCCAUGCCGUAAACGAUGAGUGCUAAGUGU